Molecule: long non-coding RNA, 2008 nt
Organism: Hemicordylus capensis (graceful crag lizard)
Lineage: Eukaryota; Metazoa; Chordata; Lepidosauria; Squamata; Cordylidae
Exons: 3
Source: RefSeq, a predicted model, not a curated record
UCCUCCACAAGUUUCCAGACCCUUUGAGAUAGAAAAGUGACCUAUACAACUUAAUAUAAAGAAUAAACUAUAAUAUAAAUAUUGGGGCCUUUCCAUUCUGUUCAAGCCUUUCCCUUUGCUAAGAAAUGAGCUUUGACAUAAGAUUUUAAAUUUCUCUCUUUUUGUGGACAUAUUCAUAUUUGCCUCCUUUUUAAAGAAUCUUUUUUAGGGUGGCAGUUUUAUCUUUGUUUGCUAGCAUUUCAGAUAGUGUUUGUCUGCUAAGGAAGGAGAAAUUUAUUUAUUUCAUUUAUAUACAGCCUAUCCAAACUAGCUCAGGGUGGUUCACAAUUUCAGAAGCAACAUGUGUUUGAAGGAGAAGGUGUAUGCCAAGCAAACCUUUUAUGAUGAGGUCCAAAGUUUUUAAUUAGUCCUCUCCAAAACAGAUGCAUUCAUGACUCAUCUGAUGUUUUGCUUUUAGUAAACUUUGGACGUGGGUAUUAGUCACCAAAAACGUGACGGGUUGUAUCCAGACUUUGCAUGAGCAGAAGGAAGCUCACACAAGAGAACUUUUUCGUGCCCUUCUCCCAAAACAGCCCUCUGAAAAACUGCUUCUGGGGGACAGGGGACCCUUGGGAACAGGGUGGGAUGGAGCGGGGCGAGGGUUGCAGGAGGGGAAAUUGCCAAAAUCAGGCAGACACACUUUCUUCAUGGAUGGUAUCUCUACCUGAUCCAGUUCCAGACUGGAGAUCCAGCUCCAGACUGCACCAACCUUUUGCACUGAUAACCCUAAUUACCACUAGGGGCACUGGGAGUAGAGAUGGUCAGAUAAUGUCUCCUUCUCUUUCCUCUGGUUCUAUGGCCCCCUCAAUUGAUAGAGGAACUGACUGAGGAACUUCCUGGGUGUGAUUUCCUUCUUCCUCUUCCAAGAAUGCUUCUAGCUCUCUCUCUGACCACCAUGUAGCCAGCAGAAAGUAAAGAACAAUUUAAAAACAAAACAAGAUUGUCAGCUCUGGAUCUUACUUUUCCAAAGAAACAAUUAGAUGUUCCUGCAACCUGACCAGUUGCUAUGGUGAUCCUGUCAGGAUGGACAGCUAGGCUGCAAAAGAAACCUUUGUCAAAUAUAUCUGCAAGCACUGUUGACAACAAACGUAAAAUAAUCUAGAGCUCUUCAGAUUUUCUGGAAUAUUUACUGGAAUUAACAUGGACAUUUAUGUAUAUUUAUUUUAAAAGUUUAUACCCUGCCUUUCUUCCUUGGAAUUCAAGGCAACUCACAACAAAUAAUUAAAAACAGCAAUGAAAUAUAAACAAUCAAUUGUCUAAAAUUACAAAUCAAGCCAGAUCAGAGAAAAUGAAAAAGGAGAAACCGAAGAGAAAAGUGGGAAUGUUAGCUGAAACAGAAAUGUCUUUACCAGCUACCAAAUCAUCAUCAAGGUGGGAAACAGCCAAAUCCACUUUGGGAGCAAAUUCCAUUGGGCAGAGUCACCACCAAGGCCUUCCCUUGAGUGGCCACCAGCUGGGCCUCCAAAAGAGGCGACACACACAGAAGGGCCUCUCUAUGACUUCUUACAGGGUAAGCAGAUUUCUGUAGUAGGAGGUGGUACUUCAGGUACCUUGAUCCCAAACUGAUUAGCCCCUGGUGGCGCAGUGGUAAAACUGCUGCCCUGUAACCAGAAGGUUGCAAGUUCAACCCUGACCAGGGGCUCAAGGUUGACUCAGCCUUCCAUCCUUCCGAGGUUGGUAAAAUGAGUACCCAGAAUGUUGGGGGCAAUAUGCUAAAUCAUUGUAAACCGCUUAGAGAGCUCCGGCUAUAGAGCGGUAUAUAAAUGUAAGUGCUAUUGCUAUUGCUAAUGUUUGAAGGUCAAUACCAGCACCCUGAAUAUUCUCUUGUAACCUAUUAAAUGGUCUCACUAUGCUUAUUCCUUCUAAUAACUCAAUUGUGACAGCUAGUUUGCUUCUAUUGUGUAAAUUACCAUGUAAUGUUCUUUUCGUCUUGGUUUUUUGAAUUUGUUUAAAAAAAAAAUUCUAUUCA